AAUCAACGCUGGCGGCGCGCUUAACACAUGCAAGUCGCACGAGAAAGGGAGCAAUCCUGAGUAAAGUGGCGCACGGGUGAGUAACACGUGGGUAUCUACCUUUUUGUGGGGAAUAACUUGGGGAAACCCGAGCUAAUACCGCAUAAGCUCGAGAGAGGAAAGCCGAAAGGCGCAGAAAGAGGAGCCCGCGGCUGAUUAGCUAGUUGGUGAGGUAAUGGCUCACCAAGGCUUAGAUCGGUAGCCGGCCUGAGAGGGCACACGGCCACACUGGCACUGAAACACGGGCCAGACUCCUACGGGAGGCAGCAGUGGGGAAUCUUGCACAAUGGAGGAAACUCUGAUGCAGCGACGCCGCGUGAACGAUGAAGCCCUUCGGGGUGUAAAGUUCUUUCGCCAGGAACGAUAAUGACGGUACCUGGAGAAGAAGCUGCGGCUAACUACGUGCCAGCAGCCGCGGUAAUACGUAGGCAGCAAGCGUUGUUCGGAAUUAUUGGGCGUAAAGAGUAUGUAGGUGGUGUCGUAAGUUUGGUGUGAAAUCUCCUGGCUUAACUGGGAGGGUGUGCCGAAGACUGCGAUGCUUGAGUAUGGGAGAGG
This 594-nucleotide ribosomal RNA is filed under the name uncultured bacterium gp3. RNAcentral describes it as "bacterial SSU rRNA". It matches the Rfam family "Bacterial small subunit ribosomal RNA", at positions 28 to 657 of the family's 1533-position model. The record is from RNAcentral.